GAUGAACGCUGGCGGCGUGCCUAAUACAUGCAAGUCGAGCGAACGGACGAGAAGCUUGCUUCUCGGAUGUUAGCGGCGGACGGGUGAGUAACACGUGGAUAACCUACCUAUAAGACGGGGAUAACUUCGGGAAACCGGAGCUAAUACCGGAUAAUAUUUUGAACCGCAUGGUUCAAAAGUGAAAGACGGUCGUGCGGUCACGUAUAGAGGGAUCCGCGCUGCAUGAGCGAGUUGGUAAGGUAACGGCUUACCAAGGCAAUGAUGCAUAGCCGACCCGAGAGGGUGCUCGGCCACACUGGAACUGAGACGCCGCCCAGACUCCUACGGGCGGCAGCAGUAGGGACUCUUCCGCACUGGGCGAAAGCCUGACGGAGCAACGCCGCGUGAGUGAUGCAGGUCUUCGGAUCGUAAAACUCUGUUCUUAGGGAAGAACAUAUGUGUAAGUAACUGUGCACAUCUUGACGGUACCUAAUCAGAAAGCCACGCCUACCUACGU
RNAcentral lists this ribosomal RNA (496 nucleotides) under uncultured bacterium. Its description in RNAcentral is "partial 16S ribosomal RNA". It matches the Rfam family "Bacterial small subunit ribosomal RNA", at positions 28 to 506 of the family's 1533-position model. The record is from RNAcentral.